Molecule: long non-coding RNA, 720 nt
Filed under: Physcomitrium patens
Lineage: Eukaryota; Viridiplantae; Streptophyta; Bryopsida; Funariales; Funariaceae
Description: long non-coding RNA (PPAT_LNC010960)
Source: RNAcentral
UAUUCCAAAUUAAUCUAAUGGGAAUAAAUCUGUAUAGGGGGAUUCAAAUAUGUGAAAUGACUAGUUGCUUAAGCAUUCAUAUUAGGGUCAUACAAUCAAUUACCUCAUGAAUGUAUCAUCUCUAUUUCCAAUAUCUGAACACACAAGGAAACUAUAAUCUCCUCCUUCACCUUAUGGGUCUCUUCCUUACAGUAAUUCAGUCAUACCAAUAACUGCUAUUUCUACCAAUAUAUUCACCCUCAUAAUCUCCAACUGUAAUACUGCACCUUCAUAGCUUUCAAUACACAAUUACCUUCAUUCUAAUCACUGGAAUUCUUCACACAGAACUGCCAUUCACAUUACGCUGUUUCACACGAACACAAACUUAUUCUCUCUACUGAACUACAAUCAGAUUUCAGCAUUUAAUCUUUCUUCUUCUCAAAUAAUACCAAUCACAUUUCCAUUCCAUAAUUCACUUCACAAUAUACAAAAACUCUCAAUCAUCUUAUUCAAAGAAAAUAACAAACAAAAGAAAAGAGGUAGCACUAAUCUUAUCCCGGCUCUUAACUAUCACAGCGAUGGCAUUUUCUUCCCCUCUUCCAUCCUCCUUAUACUAUUCCAAGAUACCAACUCCUAUACUACAGAUGAUAACUACUUGACUAUUCAUCUAUUCUACCUGCUGAAGCACUUUUUCAACAGUUAUCUAUCCCUGUUUACACUAUACACUAGGUAUCUUCAUUC